Molecule: non-coding RNA, 1408 nt
Organism: Zootermopsis nevadensis
Lineage: Eukaryota; Metazoa; Arthropoda; Insecta; Blattodea; Termopsidae
Source: RefSeq, a predicted model, not a curated record
UGUAGAAAAGUUUAUUAUCGGCAUGUUCUUGAGCUAAUGUUUGUUAUUCUGAAUACUUUUCAGCUGACUACAUCAAACCGUAUUCCAGAAAUGAUCCCAAGUUCAAUGAAUGCGCACUAAAGAGUGGUAGAGCUGCUUUUCCGAGAAUUAUCGAAGGAGAUCGGAAGUAUGACUUCCCUGUCUUGGAUCCACUAGUGGUCGACAAAUUUUCUCUGACACACAUGGGUUUAAACGCAUCUUCAAGGAAUUUCACCAUCGCGGGAGUGAAGGAUGCCUUUUUUGAGGAUAUCAGUCGAAGAUGCGGAGUUCGUGACAAUCCUUCUACUUUCAUCAGCACGUCUUCACACAAGCGGUUUAAGAAGAAUAUAAAAUGGCAUUAUUCAUUAGCCAACGCAAACGAUUUACAGACAAAUAAAACAGCAGUUGAUACGUGGCAAUAGCAUGCUGAUACAUUUUUUCAAUAUGACAUUUUAAAUCUCUAACGCGGUUUGCAUAAAUUUCAAGUCAGUUGCUUAUUGUACAAACACGUUUGAUGGCAAAGGGGGAGUUCUUGGACAAGCUUUUAACCGAACACCUGAUAUGCCCCAGGAGAAAUUCAUAUUGAUUCGGAUGAAGAUUGGAAUCUAGAUAUUGAUGAUAAGGUGACCAAAUAAAUGCUCACAUGAAGAAAGCCCACACGAAAAUUCCGCACAGAAAAACUCCACUGUCAUCAAUGCUCACAUGAAAAAUACCUAUAUGGAAAAAUGCUCACACAGAAAAAUACGCACAUAGAAUAAUUCUCACAUUAUUUUUAGUUUACAAAAAACAAAUAAUUCCAUAUUUCAAAACGCCAAACGGGGCCAAGUAUAGGUUAGGUUAGUAUGUAUAGUAUAGUUGAACUUCAAUUCAUAGCAUGCAUAUAACGCCUUAUUUAGAGUGUAUUACUUGAUAGUAUUGUGAAUGUGAGAAUUUUUCUAUGUUCGUAUUUUUCUGUGUGAGCAGUCCGGUGAGCAUUUAUCCGUGUGAGAAUUUUUUCGUGUGAGCAUUUUUCCAUGUGAGUAUUAUGACUGGGGGUUUUCUGUAAACAAUUCUCAUGUAGGCUUUUAUCUGUGAGCUUUUGUAAUGGAACUUGAUGAUAAAAUCCCAAAACUUCAAAAAAAAGGAAUAUUGUUUUAUUGCAUAAAUAGGGCAUGCUUUAGGAAUAUCUCAUUCAAAUGAUAUGUUAUGCUUGCAGCGAAUAUUUUAAAAAAAAUAAUUACAUGGAGAUAAUAUUUUAGCUACAUGUACCACCAGCUAAAAAAAUGAAAAUUUGUCUCCAGAACUAGAAUCAAAAGUAUGUGGUCUAAUAAACAAUGUCAACAAGCUUUUAAACGUUAAUCAGCUAACGUAAGAAUUUUGCAAUAAAUGGAUUUAUUCUUUUUUCUUUAUA